UAUACCACCAACAGAAACAUCCGGUCCUUUGCACAGCAUUGUGCACCGGCACAGACACGCGCUCUGCACUCGCUCAUUGCAGGAUUAUAGCAUUUAAUCCACACUGCAGCAGCUGCCAGAUGCUGCAGCAAUGCUGAGCUGAUGGGUUUGAGGUUGAAAGAGAGGAAGAAGGCACAUAAGUUCCCUGUCAUGCUGAGAUGACUGAGCUGCACAAAGGAUCUGAACUGCCUCAAGAAUUUGAUUUAUUAAUACGUGGGUUGUCCAGGAAUCAAGCCAAAGUUCUAUUUGUCUCACACAGUUCAGUUCAAUCGUUUAAAUGGAGUUUAUACAUUGCUUCAAACCAGUGUUUUUCAACUAGUGUGCCGCUGCACACUAGUGUGCCUUGGGAGAUGGUCAGGUGUGCCGUGGGAAAUUGCCUGUCAUGGUGCCCGGAUCAGUUCCCCUCCCCUCCUCCAGCUGCUCCUCUCCUAACCACCACCAGCUGUUGUCACUCAACCUCAUCAAACCCUGCUGUUAAAAGGAGACCUCAUCCACCAGUUCAUCGCCAGAUCGUUACCCCUUAUGGAAACCUUUGCCACGAGUGACGUCAGUGGAACUCAGGACCCGCUUCACGGAGCACCGCUGGGGAAAUCCCAACACGCCGACCGCGUUCGUAACUCCAGCCACGCCACCAACCACAGCCGCCUCUGGAUCACCCUCGGACCUUUGGACCUCCUGGGAGAAAAUAAUAAAUAACCUUCUUACCUGU
Oryzias latipes (Japanese medaka) is the source of this 748-nucleotide long non-coding RNA. RefSeq lists it as uncharacterized. The record is from RefSeq and is a predicted model, not a curated record. Lineage: Eukaryota; Metazoa; Chordata; Actinopteri; Beloniformes; Adrianichthyidae.